RNAcentral lists this ribosomal RNA (253 nucleotides) under uncultured bacterium. RNAcentral describes it as "partial 16S ribosomal RNA". It matches the Rfam family "Bacterial small subunit ribosomal RNA", at positions 524 to 775 of the family's 1533-position model. The record is from RNAcentral.
UACGUAGGGUGCAAGCGUUGUCCGGAAUUAUUGGGCGUAAAGAGCUCGUAGGUGGCCUGUCGCGUCGGCUGUGAAAACUCGGGGCUCAACUCCGAGCUUGCAGUCGAUACGGGCAGGCUAGAGUUCGGCAGGGGAGACUGGAAUUCCUGGUGUAGCGGUGGAAUGCGCAGAGUAUCAGGAGGAACACCGGUGGCGAAGGCGGGUCUCUGGGCCGAUACUGACGCUGAGGAGCGAAAGCGUGGGGAGCAAACGG